AUUACAAUUCACAUUCAGUAUUAUUUUGUAUCAGUUUCAGGUGUACAGCAUAGUGGUUACACAAUCAUUUACUUCACAAAGUGCUCCCCCCUGAUAUUUCCAGGACCCAUCUGGCACA
Molecule: long non-coding RNA, 118 nt
Organism: Phyllostomus discolor (pale spear-nosed bat)
Lineage: Eukaryota; Metazoa; Chordata; Mammalia; Chiroptera; Phyllostomidae
Exons: 3
Source: RefSeq, a predicted model, not a curated record